Molecule: long non-coding RNA, 318 nt
Organism: Physella acuta
Lineage: Eukaryota; Metazoa; Mollusca; Gastropoda; Physidae
Source: RefSeq, a predicted model, not a curated record
UACAGAUUUCUCCGAGAAAACCAUCAUUGUAAUAGCAGAUACUGUGCAGAUAAAAAUAUCAUGUAUUUUCGAGUGUGCCUACCGAUUCUGUUUUACUUUUUCUUAUGUGUACUAACUGCUGAAUGGGAAUCAGAAGAUUUAAACACCCGAUCCUACAAAUGCCAUUGUCUGGACUGUACCACAAAUAAUUAUUGUGCCAGCAACGCUACUUGUGUGACAGGAUGGUUUGGGCCCGGCUGCCACUACCAGGACCUGAUUCAUUCCCUUGAACUGCAAACUGAUUCAGACAAAACAAUAUAUCUGAGCGAUGGCAACGAC